This 460-nucleotide ribosomal RNA is filed under the name uncultured bacterium. RNAcentral describes it as "partial 16S ribosomal RNA". It matches the Rfam family "Bacterial small subunit ribosomal RNA", at positions 338 to 795 of the family's 1533-position model. The record is from RNAcentral.
CCUACGGGUGGCAGCAGUGAGGAAUAUUGGUCAAUGGUCGCGAGCCUGAACCAGCCAAGUAGCGUGAGGGAGGACUGCACUACGUAUUGUAAACUUCUUUUGUAAAGGAAUAAAGGAAGGCACAUGUGCCUUUAUGAGUGUCCCUGAAGAAUAAGGCUCGGCUAACUCCGUGCCAGCAGCCGCGGUAAUACGGAGGAUCCGAGCGUUAUCCGGAUGUAUUGGGUUUAAAGGGAGCGUAGAUGGGUUGUUAAGUCAGUUGUGAAAGUUUGCGGCUCAACCGUAAAAUUGCAAUUGAUACUGGCAGUCUUGAGUACAGGUGAGGUAGGCGGAAUUCGUGGUGUAGCGGUGAAAUGCUUAGAUAUCACGAAGAACUCCGAUUGCGAAGGCAGCUUACUAAACUGCCACUGACAUUGAUGCUCGAAAGUGUGGGUAUCAAACAGGAUUAGAUACCCUAGUAGUC